Molecule: small nuclear RNA, 104 nt
Organism: Antechinus flavipes (yellow-footed antechinus)
Lineage: Eukaryota; Metazoa; Chordata; Mammalia; Dasyuromorphia; Dasyuridae
Source: RefSeq, a predicted model, not a curated record
AUGCUCUCUUUGGCAGCAAAUAUAUUAAAAUUGGAAUGAUAUAAAGAUUAGCAUGGCCUUUGAUCAAAGAUAACACACAAAUUUUUGGGGGGUUUUGCUUACUU